UGCGUACCCAAGUACAAUAGCGUCCAACGGUCUCAAAAGUAUUUGCCAGAUCCGAAAUAUCUUGACGUUGACCAUGAGAAGAAAAGCAAAUGAGAUUGCUUUAAUAGACAUUUCGAAUGUAAGACACCCAGUAAUUCUACUUUGUGCGUACAAUAUAUAAAAUCUAAACAAAUACCCUAAGUAAAUUAUCUAAUCGGAAAAGAAAUGUCCAAAGUGAGGAAAAUGCCGGAUCUUUAGCGGUUCAAAUAACAAGAUCCCAUCAACUUUUGGUGGAUUGGUAUCACAAUCCUUACAUAUUUUGAUGUACUGGUAACAAAAGUUAAAAAAGAUCUUUCUUAUAGAAACCUAUGCAACUGGUAUAUCUGGAUCUUCCUGGAUUAAUGUACAUAUAACACAUAACAUACAACACAUAUGUAUGUAUGGAUCCUUGAAGAUGAUCAAAAACACAUCCAUCUUGCUUUAACAUAAAUUUGUAUAAACACAAAAUACCUUAAAAUUCUACAAGUACUGGGUAUACAAAGUAUAAACUCAAUACGAUUACAAAUGUUUGGAUGUACAUAUAGAUAACCUAUGCAUACAUAUGUGUCAAUGUGAAAACAAUUUUGAAUCGAAAGCGGAAAAAUGGUUCAGUUUGGAAGAACACCGAAAGCAACAGAUAUAAAUACCUGGAAGAAUCUUCGCUGGCCCUGAGAAGUUUAUAUUGUUACGCAUAGGCAGAUCAAGUAGACCGAGGAUUGGGUUGCUAUGCCGUAUUGAGUCAAUAGUAUUGACUGAGAAUACUCAGUCUUGGCUCAAAGUUGUUUGGAACAACAUAUUUACAUACAUACAUACAUAUGUAUUUAACCAUCUGGAACCACUCGUGCAUCUUUCCCGUUAAGGAUUCUGUUAAAGGCCUGGUCUUUCAAUGGGGGGGAGUAUGUUCGGAGCAACAGCCGCCAAUAGCUCUUAGCAAAUUUCAAUUAUUUUAUCUAACAUUUCUUAUCCGAAUGCUUUUAAGUUAUCUGUUGUCGCGCUCAUGUAAAUUACGCUCUUAAAUUUGUAAACUUUAACACCCGAAAUCGAAGUUCACGGAAAUUGUAAAAUUGUAAAACAUCGAACAACAAACCACUUAAUUUAAAUCUAA
Long non-coding RNA from Drosophila pseudoobscura, 1123 nucleotides. RefSeq lists it as uncharacterized. The record is from RefSeq and is a predicted model, not a curated record. The transcript is spliced from 3 exons. NCBI's taxonomy places the organism in Eukaryota, Metazoa, Arthropoda, Insecta, Diptera, Drosophilidae.